GAUGAAGAACGCAGCGAAAUGCGAUACGUAGUGUGAAUUGCAGAAUUCAGUGAAUCAUCGAAUCUUUGAACGCACAUUGCGCCCUUUGGUAUUCCGAAGGGCAUGCCUGUUCGAGCGUCAUUAUCACCCCUCAAGCCCCCGGCUUGGUGUUGGACGGUUUGGCGGAGGCCCUCCGGGGCCCUUGCCCCUCCCAAAGACAAUGACGGCGGCCUCGUUGGACCCCCGGUACACUGAGUUCUUCACGGGACACGUACUGGACUAAGGGUGAGCGGGGCACGGUCUGCCUCCCCUCAGGGAGAAUCUUUUUUUACAAGGUUGACCUCGGAUCAGGUAGGGAUACCCGCUGAACUUAAGCAUAUCAAUAAGCGGAGGA
This 373-nucleotide unclassified non-coding RNA is filed under the name soil metagenome. Its description in RNAcentral is "partial contains 5.8S ribosomal RNA, internal transcribed spacer 2, and large subunit ribosomal RNA". The stretch from base 1 to 120 matches the Rfam family "5.8S ribosomal RNA", at positions 35 to 154 of the family's 154-position model. The record is from RNAcentral.